RNAcentral lists this non-coding RNA (22 nucleotides) under Arabidopsis thaliana (thale cress). The record is from RNAcentral. Lineage: Eukaryota; Viridiplantae; Streptophyta; Magnoliopsida; Brassicales; Brassicaceae.
AGGGAUGCAACACGAGGACUUC